Molecule: ribosomal RNA, 500 nt
Filed under: uncultured bacterium
Lineage: Bacteria
Description: partial 16S ribosomal RNA
Rfam family: Bacterial small subunit ribosomal RNA
Source: RNAcentral
AUUGAACGCUGGCGGAAUGCUUUACACAUGCAAGUCGAACGGCAGCACGGACUUCGGUCUGGCGGCGAGUGGCGAACGGGUGAGUAAUGUAUCGGAACGUGCCCAGUCGUGGGGGAUAACGUAGUGAAAAUUACGCUAAUACCGCAUACGAUCUAUGGAUGAAAGGGGGGGAUCGCAAGACCUCGCGGGAUUGGAGCGGCCGAUAACAGAUGAGAGAGUUGGUGGGGUAAAGGCCCACCAAGCCAACGAUCUGUAGGUGGUCUUAGAGGACGACCAGCCCCACUGGAACUGAGACACGGUCCAGACUCCUACGGGAGGCAGCAGUGGGGAAUUUUGGACAAUGGGCGAAAGCCUGAUCCAGCCAUUCCGCGUGCAGGAUGAAGGCCCUCGGGUUGUAAACUGCUUUUGUACAGAACGAAAAGGUUUCUACUAAUACUAGGAGCUCAUGACGGUACUGUAAGAAUAAGCACCGGCUAACUACGUGCCAGCAGCCGCCGCCG